CCGCCCUUGGUGCGGACGCGGUGGCCGAGGUUGCCGAUCUCGUAAUCCGUAUCGGAGUUGGUCGGCAGUUCGACGCUGUCGAGCCGGA
This 88-nucleotide transfer RNA is filed under the name Hartmannibacter diazotrophicus. RNAcentral describes it as "tRNA-Gly". Lineage: Bacteria; Pseudomonadati; Pseudomonadota; Alphaproteobacteria; Hyphomicrobiales; Pleomorphomonadaceae. The record is from RNAcentral.